Molecule: ribosomal RNA, 329 nt
Filed under: Elusimicrobiota bacterium
Lineage: Bacteria; Pseudomonadati; Elusimicrobiota
Description: bacterial SSU rRNA
Rfam family: Bacterial small subunit ribosomal RNA
Source: RNAcentral
CAUGGCCUUUAUGUCCAGGGCUACACACGUGAUACAAUGGCAUAGACAGAGGGCUGCAAUGCGGUAACGCGGAGCCAAUCCCUAAACUAUGCCCCAGUUCAGAUUGUGGGCUGCAAUUCGCCCACAUGAAGGUGGAAUCGCUAGUAAUCGCAGAUCAGCAGGCUGCGGUGAAUACGUUCCCGGGCCUUGUACACACCGCCCGUCACACCACGAAAGUCAAUUGCAACAGAAGCGCCCCGAGCAACCGGGGCACCAAGUUGUGAUUGGUGAUUGGGGUGAAGUCGUAACAAGGUAGCCGUACGAGAACGUGCGGCUGGAUCACCUCCUUU